Theobroma cacao (cacao) is the source of this 150-nucleotide non-coding RNA. The record is from RefSeq and is a predicted model, not a curated record. Lineage: Eukaryota; Viridiplantae; Streptophyta; Magnoliopsida; Malvales; Malvaceae.
GAGAAAGUGUUGGAAUUCAAGGAUUUGAUCAAGCAAAGGUGGUGAGCCAUUGGAUAUGGGUAAAGGACUAUACCCGCAGACUGAAAAUAUGAGUAUUUCUACUCCUAAUACUGCUCAGGACAGUUUGUUGAUAGUUGGUUAAGACGAGAA